AAAAAAUCCGAUCUGGCUGUGACAUCUGUCACCCCAUUGAUUGUGCCAGGGUUGAUUCGGCUGACCCGGCUGGCUAGGCGGGUGUUCCUUCCUCCUUCACUGCUCCAUGUGCGACCCUCCUGAAGCUGCGCGUGGUGGCUUUCCUGAAAGAGAGACAGACUGGUCUUCCGUCGAGGGUAUGAGUAGCUGCGCUCCCCUUCUAGAACCUCCAAAAAAUAACAUUACCUAAGUUAUUAUUUAUUAACGCAGCGUUUUGUAGUACACAUGCAUUGAGUGAGGAGGAAUCUGGUCACCAAGCAUACAGAU
Molecule: small nuclear RNA, 306 nt
Filed under: Sorex araneus (European shrew)
Lineage: Eukaryota; Metazoa; Chordata; Mammalia; Eulipotyphla; Soricidae
Description: 7SK RNA (ENSSARG00000018082.1)
Rfam family: 7SK RNA
About the family: 7SK was discovered as an abundant small nuclear RNA in the mid-70s but a possible function has only recently been suggested. Two independent studies have found that 7SK RNA binds the CDK9/cyclin T complex (known as elongation factor P-TEFb).
Source: RNAcentral